This is a non-coding RNA of Vicia faba (fava bean), 210 nucleotides long. Lineage: Eukaryota; Viridiplantae; Streptophyta; Magnoliopsida; Fabales; Fabaceae. The record is from the annotation of a GenBank genome assembly.
AUGUUUACUACAAAAAUAGAAAAUAAAUCCAGCCCAACAAAUAUCAAAAACUUCAUAAAAAAUUGCAAAAAAAAAACACAAGGGAUUAUUGGACUGGAAAUAGAAAAUUCGUGUGGGCUUUCAAGGAGAAAAUUGGCAGGCAUUUUUUUCAGUUUCAUCUCAGCCUUUCGUUCACACAAAGCCUUAGUUUUUACACUAUAUAAGCAUUGA